GGUGGCAUGGUCGAGUGGUAAGGCGGGGGAUUGCAAAUCCUAUGUCCCCAGUUCAUAUUUAGGUGUCGCCU
This 71-nucleotide transfer RNA is filed under the name Eucalyptus grandis. It matches the Rfam family "tRNA". Rfam says of the family: Transfer RNA (tRNA) molecules are approximately 80 nucleotides in length. Their secondary structure includes four short double-helical elements and three loops (D, anti-codon, and T loops). The record is from Rfam by way of RNAcentral. Lineage: Eukaryota; Viridiplantae; Streptophyta; Magnoliopsida; Myrtales; Myrtaceae.